UCAGACGAUGCGUCAUGCAUAUCAAUAAGCGGAGGAAAAGAAACUAACAAGGAUUCCCCUAGUAACGGCGAGUGAAGCGGGAAGAGCUCAAAUUUGAAAUCUUAAAGGGUUUCCCUUUACGAAUUGUAGUUUAAAGAAGUGUUUUCUGUUGAGGUUUUGGUAAAAGUUCUUUGGAAUAGGACAUCAUAGAGGGUGAGAAUCCCGUAUUUGACCUUUACUUUCAACUUUGUGAUACACUUUCAAAGAGUCGGAUUGUUUGGGAAUGCAGUCCAAAAUGGGUGGUAAAUUUCAUCUAAAGCUAAAUAUUGGCGAGAGACCGAUAGCGAACAAGUACCGCGAGGGAAAGAUGAAAAGAACUUUGAAAGGAGAGUUAAACAGUACGUGAAAUUGUCAAAAGGGAAGCGUUUGACACCAGUGUUGUUUUUCUGAAAAUCAAUUAAAGAACUGUUUAUGCUAAGUUGUUUAGACUUUAUCAGCUAUCUGUUUAGUUUUGAGCUUUUCUUUAAUGCACUUUUCAGUUAACAAGUCAACAUCAAUUUCUUUUGCUGUAAAAAAGCUUGAGGAAGGUGGCUUGAGAUUCGUCUUAAGUGUUUAUAGCCUCUUGCCUAUGCAGUCGGAGAGAUUGAGGUCUGCAGCGUAGAUCCUUCGGGGCUAAAUGCAUUUGUGCUAAGUUAUAGCAUUUUAUAGACAACUUGUUGACUAUGAUUUGUCUUGUAGCUUACUCGCUUAUGUUAUUUUACCUACGCUUAGGAUGUUGACACACGCGCGUGCUCG
This 774-nucleotide ribosomal RNA is filed under the name uncultured Neocallimastigales. RNAcentral's name for it is "partial large subunit ribosomal RNA". It matches the Rfam family "Eukaryotic large subunit ribosomal RNA", at positions 18 to 643 of the family's 3401-position model. The record is from RNAcentral. Lineage: Eukaryota; Fungi; Neocallimastigomycota; Neocallimastigomycetes; Neocallimastigales.